This 233-nucleotide ribosomal RNA is filed under the name uncultured bacterium. Its description in RNAcentral is "partial 16S ribosomal RNA". It matches the Rfam family "Bacterial small subunit ribosomal RNA", at positions 334 to 564 of the family's 1533-position model. The record is from RNAcentral.
UCUUCCUACGGGGGGCAGCAGUGAGGAAUAUUGGUCAAUGGACGCAAGUCUGAACCAGCCAUGCCGCGUGCAGGAAGACGGCUCUAUGAGUUGUAAACUGCUUUUGUACGAGGGAAAACGCAGAUACGUGUAUCUGUCUGAAAGUAUCGUACGAAUAAGGAUCGACUAACUCCGUGCCAGCAGCCGCGGGAAUACGGAGGAUUCAAGCGUUAUCCGGAGUUAUUGGGUUUAAA